RNAcentral lists this ribosomal RNA (685 nucleotides) under uncultured bacterium. RNAcentral's name for it is "bacterial SSU rRNA". It matches the Rfam family "Bacterial small subunit ribosomal RNA", at positions 118 to 815 of the family's 1533-position model. The record is from RNAcentral.
UGAAUAAUCUGCCCUCGAGAUCGGGAUAACAUGGUGAAAACUAUGCUAAUACCGGAUAAGACCACAUUUCAAAAGAAAUGCGGGAAAAGAAGUCUCAACCUUCACUCGAGGAUGAGUUCGCGCAACAUUAGCUUGUUGGUGAGAUAAAAGCUCACCAAGGCUACGAUGUUUAGCCGGCCUGAGAGGGUGAUCGGCCACACUGGAACUGAGACACGGUCCAGACUCCUACGGGAGGCAGCAGUGGGGAAUAUUGCGCAAUGGGCGAAAGCCUGACGCAGCAACGCCGUGUGAGCGAUGAAGGCUUUAGGGUUGUAAAGCUCUGUCAAAUGGGAAGAAUUAUGACGGUACCAUUAGAGGAAGCCCCGGCUAACUCCGUGCCAGCAGCCGCGGUAAUACGGGGGGGGCAAGCGUUGUUCGGAAUUAUUGGGCGUAAAGCGUAUGUAGGCGGCAAAGUAAGUCAGGCGUGCAAGCCCGUGGCUCAACCACGGAAUUGCGUUUGAAACUGCUUAGCUUGAGUACAGGAGAGGAAAGCGGAAUUCCCAGUGUAGCGGUGAAAUGCAUUGAUAUUGGGAAGAACAUCUGUGGCGAAGGCGGCUUUCUGGUCUGUUACUGACGCUGAGAUACGAAAGCCAGGGGAGCAAAGGGGAUUAGAUACCCCCGUAGUCCUGGCUGUAAACGAUGGGCA